AGCGCUGUACACGGGAGUCCGGUGAGCCGGGCUGAGAGGAAGCUUCUCCAAGCUUCGACCGUCGAACCUGAUCCGGAUCAUGCCGGCGCAGGGAGGACUUCUCGCACCCGU
This 111-nucleotide non-coding RNA is filed under the name Yonghaparkia sp. Root332. Its description in RNAcentral is "TPP riboswitch aptamer (THI element)". It matches the Rfam family "TPP riboswitch aptamer (THI element)". From Rfam's summary of the family: Vitamin B(1) in its active form thiamin pyrophosphate (TPP) is an essential coenzyme that is synthesised by coupling of pyrimidine and thiazole moieties in bacteria. The previously detected thiamin-regulatory element, thi box was extended, resulting in a new, highly conserved RNA secondary structure, the THI element, which is widely distributed in eubacteria and also occurs in some archaea. Analysis of operon structures identified a large number of new candidate thiamin-regulated genes, mostly transporters, in various prokaryotic organisms. RNAcentral also lists the same sequence under 1 other name. The record is from Rfam by way of RNAcentral. Lineage: Bacteria; Bacillati; Actinomycetota; Actinomycetes; Micrococcales; Microbacteriaceae.